CCAGGGGAAGCGGCUCCGCCGCUGGGGCCGGGCCCCUGUUUGUCCGGUGCCGGGUCCUUGGAGCCUGAAGGUGGUGGGCUUCCGCCAGAAGCCCCUGGCGGAAGCGGUGCCCGCGUGCGGGCCAGAGUGUGGGUGUGCAGGUCUCUGGGCGGCCCAAAGGGGUGCCCCUGCCUGGUAACCUAGCGGGAGGGUGGGGACGGCGGGGAGGGCGGCGGGCGCUGGGCACGGCUCCGCUGCUCAGGGCAGGCUCCGCCCCCAGGGGCGCGGAUUUAAAAGGAUCGAAGGCAGCCCGGGAGCCGAGCGGCGGGGAAGCGCGCCCGAACGAAGCCGCGGCCCGGGCACAGCCAUGGCCAGGCGGGCGGGGGGCGCUCGGCUGUUCAGCAGCCUCCUGCUCUUCGCCCUGCUCGCUGCCGCCGUCGCCCCGCUCAGCUGGGAUCUCCCGGAGCCCCGCAGCCGAGCCGGCAAGAUACGAGUGCACCCGCGAGGCAACCUCUGGGCCACCGGUCACUUCAUGGGCAAGAAGAGUCUGGAGCCUCCCAGCCCAUCCCCAUUGGGGACAGCUCCCCACACCUCCCUGAGGGACCAGCGACUGCAGCUGAGUCAUGAUCUGCUCGGGAUCCUCCUGCUAAAGAAGGCUCUGGGCGUGAGCCUCAGCCGCCCCGCACCCCACAUCCAGGAGGCUGCUGGUACAAAUACUGCAGAAAUGACACCAAUAAUGGGGCAGACACAACAGCGUGGCUUAGAUUGUGCCCACCCAGGGAAGGUGCUGAAUGGGACCCUGGUGAUGGCCCCGUCUGCAUGUAAAUCCUGAGCUCAAAUCUCUGUUACUCCAUUACUGUGAUUUCUGGUUGGGUCACCAGAAAUAUCGCUGACGCAGACACAGAUUAUGUUCCUGCUGUAUUUCCUGCUUCCCUGUUGAAUUGGUCCUGCUCGGAGCUGACAGCGGGAAAGUCCCGAUUUCAGGUCACUUUUCCCGGAGCUUUCGCGGAGAAAACCCGUAACCCA
RNA transcript from Pongo pygmaeus (Bornean orangutan), 1005 nucleotides. It is a transcript of the gene named neuromedin B, with no coding region annotated. The transcript has 4 exons. NCBI's taxonomy places the organism in Eukaryota, Metazoa, Chordata, Mammalia, Primates, Hominidae. The record is from RefSeq and is a predicted model, not a curated record.